AUUGAACGCUGGCGGCAGGCCUAAUACAUGCAAGUCGAACGGUAACAUAAAAGAAGCUUGCUUCUUUUGAUGACGAGUGGCGGACGGGUGAGUAAUAUUUGGGAAACUACCUGAUAGAGGGGACGAACAGUUGGAACGACUGCUAAUACCGCAUAAGCGCACAGUACCGCAUGGUACAGUGUGAAAAACUACCGGUGGUGUGAGAUGGACCCGCGUCUGAUUAGCUAGUUGGUAGGGUAACGGACCUACCAAGGCGACGAUCAGUAGCCGGUCUGAGAGGAUGAACGGCCACAUUGGGACUGAGACACGGCCCAAACUCCUACGGGA
This 327-nucleotide ribosomal RNA is filed under the name uncultured bacterium. RNAcentral describes it as "bacterial SSU rRNA". It matches the Rfam family "Bacterial small subunit ribosomal RNA", at positions 30 to 346 of the family's 1533-position model. The record is from RNAcentral.